ACGAACGCUGGCGGCGUGCCUAAUACAUGCAAGUAGAACGCACAGUUUAUACCGUAGCUUGCUACACCAUAAACUGUGAGUUGCGAACGGGUGAGUAACGCGUAGGUAACCUGCCUGGUAGCGGGGAUAACUAUUGGAAACGAUAGCUAAUACCGCAUAAUAUUGAUUAUUGCAUGAUAAUUGAUUGAAAGAUGCUAUUGCAUCACUACCAGAUGGACCUGCGUUGUAUUAGCUAGUAGGUGAGGUAACGGCUCACCUAGGCGACGAUACAUAGCCGACCUGAGAGGGUGAUCGGCCACACUGGGACUGAGACACGGCCCAGACUCCUACGGGAGGCAGCAGUAGGGAAUCUUCGGCAAUAGACGAAAGUCUGACCGAGCAACGCCGCGUGAGUGAAGAAGGUUUUCGGAUCGUAAAGCUCUGUUGUAAGAGAAGAACGGGUGUGAGAGUGGAAAGUUCACACUGUGACGGUAUCUUACCAGAAAGGGACGGCUAACUACGUG
Molecule: ribosomal RNA, 503 nt
Filed under: uncultured bacterium
Lineage: Bacteria
Description: partial 16S ribosomal RNA
Rfam family: Bacterial small subunit ribosomal RNA
Source: RNAcentral